UGAUUUUGGUCGCCAACGAGUGGCGGACGGGUGAGUAACACGUAGGUAACCUGCCCAGAAGCGGGGGACAACAUUUGGAAACAGAUGCUAAUACCGCAUAACAGCGUUGUUCGCAUGAACAACGCUUAAAAGAUGGCUUCUCGCUAUCACUUCUGGAUGGACCUGCGGUGCAUUAGCUUGUUGGUGGGGUAACGGCCUACCAAGGCGAUGAUGCAUAGCCGAGUUGAGAGACUGAUCGGCCACAAUGGGACUGAGACACGGCCCAUACUCCUACGGGAGGCAGCAGUAGGGAAUCUUCCACAAUGGGCGCAAGCCUGAUGGAGCAACACCGCGUGAGUGAAGAAGGGUUUCGGCUCGUAAAGCUCUGUUGUUAAAGAAGAACACGUAUGAGAGUAACUGUUCAUACGUUGACGGUAUUUAACCAGAAAGUCACGGCUAACUACGUGCCAGCAGCCGCGGUAAUACGUAGGUGGCAAGCGUUAUCCGGAUUUAUUGGGCGUAAAGAGAGUGCAGGCGGUUUUCUAAGUCUGAUGUGAAAGCCUUCGGCUUAACCGGAGAAGUGCAUCGGAAACUGGAUAACUUGAGUGCAGAAGAGGGUAGUGGAACUCCAUGUGUAGCGGUGGAAUGCGUAGAUAUAUGGAAGAACACCAGUGGCGAAGGCGGCUACCUGGUCUGCAACUGACGCUGAGACUCGAAAGCAUGGGUAGCGAACAGGAUUAGAUACCCUGGUAGUCCAUGCCGUAAACGAUGAGUGCUAGGUGUUGGAGGGUUUCCGCCCUUCAGUGCCGGAGCUAACGCAUUAAGCACUCCGCCUGGGGAGUACGACCGCAAGGUUGAAACUCAAAGGAAUUGACGGGGGCCCGCACAAGCGGUGGAGCAUGUGGUUUAAUUCGAAGCUACGCGAAGAACCUUACCAGGUCUUGACAUCUUGCGCCAACCCUAGAGAUAGGGCGUUUCCUUCGGGAACGCAAUGACAGGUGGUGCAUGGUCGUCGUCAGCUCGUGUCGUGAGAUGUUGGGUUAAGUCCCGCAACGAGCGCAACCCUUGUUACUAGUUGCCAGCAUUAAGUUGGGCACUCUAGUGAGACUGCCGGUGACAAACCGGAGGAAGGUGGGGACGACGUCAGAUCAUCAUGCCCCUUAUGACCUGGGCUACACACGUGCUACAAUGGACGGUACAACGAGUCGCGAACUCGCGAGGGCAAGCAAAUCUCUUAAAACCGUUCUCAGUUCGGACUGCAGGCUGCAACUCGCCUGCACGAAGUCGGAAUCGCUAGUAAUCGCGGAUCAGCAUGCCGCGGUGAAUACGUUCCCGGGCCUUGUACACACCGCCCGUCACACCAUG
Molecule: ribosomal RNA, 1344 nt
Filed under: Limosilactobacillus fermentum
Lineage: Bacteria; Bacillati; Bacillota; Bacilli; Lactobacillales; Lactobacillaceae
Description: bacterial SSU rRNA
Rfam family: Bacterial small subunit ribosomal RNA
Source: RNAcentral